UUUCCGUAGGUGAACCUGCGGAAGAAUCAUUGUCGUGACCCUGACCAAAACAUACCGCGCAUGCAUCAUCCAAUCCGACGGCGAUGCACCGUCCGUCGCUCGGCCAAGUCCUCGACCACAUCCCCUCCUCGGAGUGGGUCGGGGCUCGGGGUAAAAGAACCCACGGCGCCAAAGGCGUCAAGGAACACUGUGCCUAACCCAGGGGCAUGGCUAGCUUACUAGUCGUCCCCCAUGUUGCGAAGUUAUUUAAUCCACACGACUCUUGGCAACGGAUAUCUUGGCUCU
Molecule: unclassified non-coding RNA, 285 nt
Filed under: root metagenome
Description: partial contains small subunit ribosomal RNA, internal transcribed spacer 1, and 5.8S ribosomal RNA
Source: RNAcentral